GGAGCGAUGGUGUAUUUGAUUAUCACGUCUGUCUAACAUUGCAUUAUUCACAGACGGACCUCAGUUCGAACCUGGGUCGCUUCA
RNAcentral lists this transfer RNA (84 nucleotides) under Ceratobasidium sp. AG-Ba. Its description in RNAcentral is "tRNA-Val". Lineage: Eukaryota; Fungi; Basidiomycota; Agaricomycetes; Cantharellales; Ceratobasidiaceae. The record is from RNAcentral.